Molecule: ribosomal RNA, 356 nt
Filed under: uncultured bacterium
Lineage: Bacteria
Description: partial 16S ribosomal RNA
Rfam family: Bacterial small subunit ribosomal RNA
Source: RNAcentral
CCUACGGGUGGCAGCAGUGAGGAAUAUUGGUCAAUGGACGCAAGUCUGAACCAGCCAUGCCGCGUGAAGGAAGACGGCUCUAUGAGUUGUAAACUGCUUUUGUACGAGGGUAAACGAAGAUACGCGUAUCUGUCUGAAAGUAACGUGCGAAUAAGGAUCGGCUAACUCCGUGCCAGCAGCCGCGGUAAUACGGAGGAUUCAAGCUUUAUCCGGAUUUAUUGGGUUUAAAGGGUGCGUAGGCGGUCGGAUAAGUUAGAGGUGAAAUCCCGAGGCUCAACUUCGGAAUUGCCUCUGAUACUGUUCGGCUAGAGCGUAGUUGCGGUAGGCGGAAUGUGUGGUGUAGCGGUGACAUGCUU